This 492-nucleotide ribosomal RNA is filed under the name uncultured Desulfobulbus sp. Its description in RNAcentral is "bacterial SSU rRNA". It matches the Rfam family "Bacterial small subunit ribosomal RNA", at positions 894 to 1382 of the family's 1533-position model. Lineage: Bacteria; Pseudomonadati; Thermodesulfobacteriota; Desulfobulbia; Desulfobulbales; Desulfobulbaceae. The record is from RNAcentral.
CAGAAACUCAAAGGAAUUGACGGGGCCCGCACAAGCGGUGGAGUAUGUGGUUAAUUCGAUGCAACGCGAAGAACCUUACCUGGUCUUGACAUCCCGGAGACCCUUAGGAAACUAGGGGGUGCUUCCAUCUGGAAGAAUCUGGAGACAGGUGCUGCAUGGCUGUCGUCAGCUCGUGUCGUGAGAUGUUGGGUUAAGUCCCGCAACGAGCGCAACCCUUGCCUUUAGUUGCCAGCAGUUCGGCUGGGCACUCUAAAGGGACUGCCGGUGUUAAACCGGAGGAAGGCGGGGAUGACGUCAAGUCCUCAUGGCCUUUAUGACCAGGGCUACACACGUACUACAAUGGCCGAUACAAAGGGCAGCGACACUGCGAGGUGAAGCCAAUCCCGUAAAAUCGGUCUCAGUCCGGAUUGGAGUCUGCAACUCGACUCCAUGAAGUUGGAAUCGCUAGUAAUCGUGGAUCAGCAUGCCACGGUGAAUACGUUCCCGGGCCUU